GGGCGGUCACGUGACUGGCGGGGGGGGGGACGCGGCGGAGAGGCGUAAACAAGCUGGCGGCGCCUGGGUGUGGUUGGAGCGCCCUGCCUCUUGCCCCCCGAGUCGUUUCUGCCCUUCGCUUGCCUGGCGCCCCCCCGAGGGUCUCUCUGUGGGAGGCCUCAGAGUAGCGAUCCUGUUUCCCAAGGAGCUGCUGGGGCCCGCGUGGGUGAAGGGCCUGCUUGGGAGCUUUGGAGUUGCAGCUCACCUGGGAAGGGGCGGAAAGCUGGGGGCCAGGGCAGCCCUCCUUCCUGGGCUAAACAUUUUCAGAAGCCCGCCUCCGGGAUUGCGGGGGACCCCCCUGGCUUCUGCCUUCAAGUAGCUCACACUUCACACCUAGUCAUGACAUCUAGGGAAAACCAGCCCUAAUAGGAGACAGCUUGAAAAUCAGAACGCCUUAUUCCGUUUCCUGCUGAAACAAGGCUUUAAGUCCUCCAAGCCUCAGUUUCUUCCUCUGUGAAAUGGGCAUAAUGACAUCUGUGACGUGAAGAAUCAAGGAGAUGAAGUAUGGACAGCGUUAAGCCCAGAGUCCUGCGCCUAGUAAAUGCUCACUCACUAGGCUGGAGUGCAAUGGCACGAUCUCCGCUCACUGCAACCUCCGCCUCCUGGGUUCAAGCGACUCUCCUGCCUCAGCCUCCCGAGUAGCUGGGAUUACAGGUCUCUGCAGAGGCCAUGAAAAAUGUGCCACUCAGCUUUUCUGCUAAUUGUUGAAGGCCCAGCUGCCACCGCUCUGGAUCUACACCCCAUUUGCAAUGAAGCCACACAUCUCGUGAGCCACUCCCAGCCCGUGACUGGGCGCAGCAGGGGCCCUAAUGCAGGAUAGCUCUGAGGAGGUGCGGGACCCUUGACAGUGGAGGACAUUGGCCCGAGAACUCUUCAUCGACCUGAUCAAACCUCUCUUGGAACUGCAAAGCAGUCUGAGACUCUUCUCCCAGUUUAUUAUCUCCCUAUUAACUAUCUAUAUUGUAGCUCAUUGGAAAAAGAGUCAUUAAUUUUGAUUAUCAAAUUCACUUCUUUUUCUUUUGACUUGCACUUUGGGUUUUUGAGAUUUUGUUUAGCAAUGCCGCUUCCAACCCUUAGUCACACGCAGUCCCCCUCUCCUCACAGGUUUCAGAUCCAUAUCAUAGCUGAAGGCUCUCUCUGCUGUCCAGCUCCUCCUCUGUGUGGGACAUUUAUCUGAGUUUUAAAAUGUCCUUCCCAAAAGUUGACUUUAGUAUUAUUUUAUUAUUUAUUUUUGAGACAGUGUCUCACUCCAGUCCAGACUAGAGUACAGUGGCCUGAUCAUAGCUCACUGCAACCUGGAACACCUAGGUUCAAGCCAUCCUCCUAUCUCAGCCUCCUGAGUAGCUGGGACUCCAGGCACACACCACCACACUGGGAUAAUUUUUUUUUUUUUUUUUUGUAGAGGUGGGCUCUCACCAUGUUGCCCAGGCUGGUCUUGAACUCCUGGACUCAAGCAAAUCUCCCACCUCGGCCUCCCAAAGGGCUGGGAUUACAGGCAUGAGCCACCAUGCCUAACCUGUAGUGUAUUAUUGAUUUAUUAUUAGGUAUUUUAUAGUUUUUAAUAUUAUUUUGUGUGUUUUUUUAAAUUUUCAACUUGGUUGUUACUGAAGUAGAGAAAUUCUAUUGAUUUUUGUAGGUUGAUCUUAUAUCUUGCACCUAGUUGAACUCUCUAAUUUUACUAGUUUGUCAUUUUAUUUUUAUUUAUGUUGAGUUUUCUAGGGAUAUUAUCACAUCACCUGAAAAUAAAAGUUUUAUCUCUCUCUCUUUUUCUUUUUUUCUGAGAUGAACUCUUGCUCUGUUGUCCAGGCUGGAGUAUAGUGGCAUGAUCAUGGCCCACUGCAGCCUCAAAUUCCCAGGCUCAAGUGACCCUCCCACCUCAACCUCCCGGGUAGCUGAGAUUAUAGACAUGCCUGGUUAAUUUUCAAAUAUUUUAUAGAGGUGAGGUCUUCCUAUGCUGCCCAGGCUGGUCUUGAACUCCUGGACUCAAGUGAAAUUCCCACCUUGGCCUCCCAAAGUACUGCGAUUACAGUCAUGAGUCAUCACACUCGGCCUGUCUCUUCUUUUUAAAUUAGAACUCUCCUCAUUUGUCUUUCCCUUUUUAUAGUGUUGGCUGGGACCUCCAGUACUAUGUCAACCAGUAGUGGUGAUAUUAGGCAUCUAUUCAUUAUUCCCAGUCUUCAAGGAAAUGCAUAUAAAUUUUCUACAGUAGGUAUAAUGUUUGCUCUAAGACUUUUGUCUAUGACUUUUACCAAAUUAAAGAAUAGAUGUGGGUUUUAUCCAAUGCUUUUUCUGCAUUCAUUGAAUAGUCAGAAAUAUCCUU
This is a long non-coding RNA of Gorilla gorilla gorilla (western lowland gorilla), 2359 nucleotides long. RefSeq lists it as uncharacterized. The transcript is spliced from 3 exons. The record is from RefSeq and is a predicted model, not a curated record. NCBI's taxonomy places the organism in Eukaryota, Metazoa, Chordata, Mammalia, Primates, Hominidae.